CUCUUCAAGCCACCGUCCAUGUUACACUGCGACAGUAGCUCACCUUCGUCGUCGAGCUCGAGCUUCGCCGUCGUCGUCUUGCUCGCAGUCUCACCUCCACCUUGGAUCUUCUUUAUCCUCGUCGCGAAUCUCCCACCGCUCGAGAAAAAGUUAAGGACCCCUAUGAGGUCCUACCAUUGGACAAAGAAAAAUUAAUUUAGCUAAAUAAAGUUUACAGUUUGAGUCAGCCCAUAUGGUGAAGCUUCAUCGUCGAAGUAAACGUAGGGUUUUCUUCAUAGUUUCAUACAGAUCUGGAAAACACAGCUUGAUCCUUUGUCUUUUCGUAACCUGUUUAUUUCCGGCAAACUCUACAUCUCCCCAUCUUUAAUUACUUCAUCAUUAAUGGUCCCGAUUCGUAUCACCUACGUAAAAUCUUUUUACAUAAACUUCAUCUCUAAUGGAGCAAAUCUGCAUCUCGAAAAAACUGAUCGAUUCCUUUACCAGUUUAACCUUACAACAUUUUUUCGAAAAUGUCUCUUUCUGCUUCUCCAUUUACUCAAACUGGCGUCCAUCACUCAAGCUUUAACUGUAGUUGGCUGCCUCCUCUGCUUUUGGGAUUCCCACAACACUAUGGGAAUCACGCUCUCUUCCUUGAUGAAAAGAAUUCCGUGAUCCGUCCUCUCAUACAUGGUAUUUGAGAUUCUCUUCCGUCAAACCUUAGAUCACUCCUUGAAAGUGUCUUCGUCCUCUGUAAUUGCUGCUCCUCACACCGGCCACCGAAUCUUACUUUUAGCCGAGCAUUGCUACCAUCAAAGCUUUCACAACCAGGUACUACGCCAGUCUCACUUUUUAAAAACUGCCAAAAAAAUUAAGUAAUAGUUUAUAUCAAAUGCUUCCUUGCUAAAUCUUAUUAAACAGAUGCUUUGGUAACCAUGUGUAGGGAAUUUAACAUCAUAUAUAUAGAUUUCUACUGUUUACAGCUUGAGAGGUGCGGCAACAGAGCUUUUUCCAUGUGUACAGACAAUGGUAGAGAUUCAAAAGAACGAACUUGUGACAACUGGAGCCAUACCUCUCCAAGUAAAUCGACCAGGUCACUUUGACUAUAUUAUGAUUUUUAAAUUUUAACAUAUAUUGUAUCACUUAAUCGCCUUAUUUGAUGUCUUCUCAAUGGCCUUUGUGAAGAUCCAGUGAGCUGGCUUCCUGUGCAGAGCUCGGAUCGUCAGUGUGCUGCAGAAAAAUGGAUGGUCUAUCUUUCUUGUAAAAUGUAACAUAUAGUGUAAUGCUCUCCUUAAAGAUCCAUCACUUUAAUAUUAAAUGCUAAUAAUGUGGGGAGAAAAUUAACACGUUAAUGAUGACUUAGAUCAUAAAUAAAAGGUCUACGUCCCUUUGUACUCUUAUGUGUUUGGUAAAUAUUUGACAUCA
Brassica rapa (field mustard) is the source of this 1401-nucleotide long non-coding RNA. RefSeq lists it as uncharacterized. The record is from RefSeq and is a predicted model, not a curated record. NCBI's taxonomy places the organism in Eukaryota, Viridiplantae, Streptophyta, Magnoliopsida, Brassicales, Brassicaceae.